This 403-nucleotide ribosomal RNA is filed under the name Verrucomicrobiota bacterium. RNAcentral describes it as "Verrucomicrobia bacterium partial 16S ribosomal RNA". It matches the Rfam family "Bacterial small subunit ribosomal RNA", at positions 355 to 776 of the family's 1533-position model. The record is from RNAcentral. Lineage: Bacteria; Pseudomonadati; Verrucomicrobiota.
UGGGGAAUAUUGCACAAUGGGCGCAAGCCUGAUGCAGCAACGCCGCGUGAACGAUGAAGGUCUUCGGAUCGUAAAGUUCUGUUGCAGGGGAAGAUAAUGACGGUACCCUGUGAGGAAGCCCCGGCUAACUACGUGCCAGCAGCCGCGGUAAUACGUAGGGGGCUAGCGUUAUCCGGAUUUACUGGGCGUAAAGGGUGCGUAGGUGGUCUUUCAAGUCGGUGGUUAAAGGCUACGGCUCAACCGUAGUUAGCCUCCGAAACUGGAAGACUUGAGUGCAGGAGAGGAAAGUGGAAUUCCCAGUGUAGCGGUGAAAUGCGUAGAUAUAUGGAGGAACACCGGUGGCGAAAGCGGCUCUCUGGUCUGUAACUGACGCUGAGGCUCGAAAGCGUGGGGAGCGAACAGG